UGCGGGCUUCGAGUCUGAUGAAAACGGCCGAGCUUCAGGAGAUGAAUAUGAUGAUCAGGCAGCAGACUCAGCUAGAGAUGACUAUGAUGAGGGCAAGUCCACGGGACUAAUUGAUGAUGAAACUGAAGAGGAGGAUGGUGGAGACAUGGUGGAUGAAGAGGGUGAAGAGGAUGAUGUGGGUGGUGGACAUGAUUUGGAUGCUUAUAUGGACGAUGACGAUGAUGAUGAGAUGAGAGAUAAUCCGGAGGAUGUCGGGGAUGCAGAAGGGAAUGGAGAUGAAGAUGAGGGAGCAUCAUCAUUUUCUUCGGAGUAC
Molecule: long non-coding RNA, 313 nt
Filed under: Musa acuminata (dwarf banana)
Lineage: Eukaryota; Viridiplantae; Streptophyta; Magnoliopsida; Zingiberales; Musaceae
Description: long non-coding RNA (MACU_LNC004830)
Source: RNAcentral